UUUAAGUGACUUAAAUUUUCGUGUCUAACGUUUUUUUGACCGUCCGUCUUAUUUAAAAUUUGUUAUAAUUAUUAUUAUUUAAAAAAAAAUAAAACAUAAAUAAUAUUGUAUGCUUGACUUUUUAAAAAAAAUUAUAAAUUUUUUAAAUAAUACGGACAGUCAAACGUUGGAUAUAGAAAUCCACAACUCCACUUAAA
Oryza meridionalis is the source of this 197-nucleotide non-coding RNA. NCBI's taxonomy places the organism in Eukaryota, Viridiplantae, Streptophyta, Magnoliopsida, Poales, Poaceae. The record is from Rfam.